This 21-nucleotide non-coding RNA is filed under the name Arabidopsis thaliana (thale cress). Lineage: Eukaryota; Viridiplantae; Streptophyta; Magnoliopsida; Brassicales; Brassicaceae. The record is from RNAcentral.
UUGGGUUCCCUAUGUGCACUA